AAUCAACGCUGGCGGCGUGCCUAACACAUGCAAGUCGCACGAGAAAGUGGAGCAAUCCAUGAGUAAAGUGGCGCACGGGUGAGUAACACGUGAAUAAUCUACCUCCGAGUGGGGAAUAACUGAGAGAAAUCUUAGCUAAUACCGCAUAACACUUACGAGUCAAAGCAGCAAUGCGCUUGGAGAGGAGUUCGCGGCCGAUUAGUUAGUUGGCGGGGUAAUGGCCCACCAAGACGAUGAUCGGUAUCCGGCCUGAGAGGGCGCACGGACACACUGGAACUGAAACACGGUCCAGACUCCUACGGGAGGCAGCAGUGGGGAAUUUUGCGCAAUGGGGGAAACCCUGACGCAGCAACGCCGCGUGGAGGAUGAAGUAUCUUGGUACGUAAACUCCUUUCGAUUGGGAAGAUAAUGACGGUACCAAUAGAAGAAGCCCCGGCUAACUUCGUGCCAGCAGCCGCAGU
This 461-nucleotide ribosomal RNA is filed under the name uncultured bacterium. RNAcentral's name for it is "bacterial SSU rRNA". It matches the Rfam family "Bacterial small subunit ribosomal RNA", at positions 32 to 521 of the family's 1533-position model. The record is from RNAcentral.